Molecule: ribosomal RNA, 235 nt
Filed under: uncultured bacterium
Lineage: Bacteria
Description: partial 16S ribosomal RNA
Rfam family: Bacterial small subunit ribosomal RNA
Source: RNAcentral
CGGCGGACGGGUGAGUAAUGUAUGGGGAUCUGCCUGAUGGCGGGGGAUAACUACUGGAAACGGUAGCUAAUACCGCAUAAUGUCUACGGACCAAAGCGGGGGACCUCCGGGCCUCGCGCCGUCAGAUGAACCCAUAUGGGAUUAGCUAGUAGGUAAGGUAACGGCUUACCUAGGCGACGAUCCCUAGCUGGUCUGAGAGGAUGAUCAGCCACACUGGGACUGAGACACGGCCCAG